RNAcentral lists this microRNA precursor (166 nucleotides) under Oryza sativa Indica Group (long-grained rice). Its description in RNAcentral is "MIR812 microRNA precursor family". It matches the Rfam family "MIR812 microRNA precursor family", at positions 27 to 191 of the family's 205-position model. Lineage: Eukaryota; Viridiplantae; Streptophyta; Magnoliopsida; Poales; Poaceae. The record is from Rfam by way of RNAcentral.
UGUAACGUUUGACCACUCGUCUUAUUCAAAUUUUUUUGAAAUUAUUAUUUAUUUUAUUUGUGACUUACUUUAUUAUCUACAGUACUUUAAGCACAACUUUUAUUUUUUAUAUUUACAAAAAAAAUUUGAAUAAGACGACUGGUCAAACGUUGCAAACAAAAACUCA